UGUACGUUUUCAUCCUCGUCCCCAGAGCCACGCUCGUUGCUCUCGCUCAGUGGAGCAACGAGCGUGGCCCUGGGGACGAGGAUGGUACGUU
This 91-nucleotide microRNA precursor is filed under the name Paramuricea clavata. Lineage: Eukaryota; Metazoa; Cnidaria; Anthozoa; Malacalcyonacea; Plexauridae. The record is from RNAcentral.